CCACCCAUAGGUGUUGGAGACUAUAUAGGAGAGGCAGCUUGGAUUCCUUGGUCUUCCUCCUGCAGGAGGAGAAGACAGGACUUGCACUUCUCCUCUUGGCCGAGGUUGUACUCCCCUCCUCUGAGAAGUUGUAAUAAUUAAGUCCCAAGUCAUCUUUAUGGGAAGGAAGACAGCCACUGGAAAACUUAGAGCACUGAGCUCCUACCAGUAGCACCAACAGUAUACACAGCAACAGCAGAUUUUGCAACUGGUGCUGUAAGGAUAGAUCAACAGCAACACUGCUGGUUCUGAUUGAGAGAUGAGUCUACAGUAUUAGUGAAGUCGAAAAUCUUAAGUGCCGAUGGUGUUACCUACGCGAUACAUUUGUGAAGAAAUACAGGAUACUUCAAAAAAAGAAGGCAGGGAUUUGUAAAAAACAAGUAACCCAAUGGCCAUUGUAUGAAAAAAUGGCCUUUUUGGUUCCUUACAUGAAGUCACCUCGGGAUCCAUCACUGAAAAACAUUUCCAGUCCUGCACAAGACCAUUUAGACAAUAACCCCCCUGUUCCAAAGACUGAGCGGAUGGAGACUUUGAACUGGUGCUCCGAGUCUUCUGUUCCCAGCUAUGAUGACAGCGAACACUUCUUAAGAAGUCUCUUGCCAAUUUUAAAACAAUUAGAUCCAGUUACAAAACUGGAAUUCCGGCUUGAGGUUCAGCAGCUUCUUCUGCAUUUUGCCAGACAAGCUGAGCUGUGCUCACCUGAUGCUGAACCUAAUACGAAAAUAAUAGUUAACACUCCAACAGAAACAGAAUAUGUUGUGGAAUCGCUAGAAGAGUCCUUUGAAAAUUCCUAAAAUUUCAGAAGCAUGCAUAAGAAAACGAUGGAGUUGUCUUCGUGACUAUUUCUUGUUUCAACAUAAGAUUCUUUUGGGUAAGAAAACAGGAAAACAUGGUAAAAGAAAAAAGAAAUGGCCACUUUAUGACAAAAUGACUUUCUUGAUUCCUCAGUUGAGAUCAAGAAAGGAUAUUCAAGCUCUAACCUCAACUGGACAAAAUUCAAAUCAAAAUGAAAUAGAUUGCAACAGUAAGCCAACUGUGUUUCAUCCAAGUGACAGAAACAAAUCUGAUCUAGUCAGCAUUGAAUCAUCAGUAGUUCUGCCUGUGGAAUCUGACUUUACAGAGCCUCUCGCUAAAAUUCAGCACACUGUCCCAGCUAAGUCUCACAAAACUUGCUUGAGUAGCCAAGGAAAUGUUUACUCUUUUAAAAGUGACCAUGGCAACCUUGAUGAUGAUACUCAUUUUAUCAUGAGUCUGUUACCUAUGAUGCGAAAACUUGAUCCUCUCACUAGACUUGAGUUCCGUAUAGAAGUCCAGUCACUUCUUUUGAGAUGCCAGAAGAAAGCAACAUCUGGAUCUUCUUUUGAACCGCCAAGAAAAAUCAGUGUCUGGUCUUCUCAACAGUAGUUCUGAGAUAGUAAUUUUGAUUGAAAAUACUACCCGAGAAACUUUUGUUGCCUUAUAAGAACGAAUAACCCAUGGUUGCAUAAGAAAGUUUUUUUUUUAUGUAAUGAGCAUUCAAAACUGUUGAUAUAUUUUUCGAAUCACUAAGUUAGAGUAAUCCCUUUUCCCAUAGAAACUAGUUGUCGUCAUAGUAAAAAAGUAGCUAAUGUAGCAAGUUUAUGGAGAUGUUUUACAUAUACUUGAAAAACGAAUUUAAAGAUCCACAUGUAAACCUGCCAGAUGAUAUACAGGUACUGUAUAAACUAAUUUAAAAUUAUAAUUUAGUCUACCUGUGCUACACAUUUGACUUGUCACUCACUGUGAUUGCACCAUGCACAUUUCUCUAUGGAAGCAUAAUGAUAAACUGUUAUAAAUGCUGACACUGCACCAUUCUUAAUUAUACUGGCAAGAAAUUCGGUACCUACAUAUAGGUACAGUCCGUUGAGGAAAUAGUUUUUUCUUUAUGUAUAAAAUUGUCUCCUCCUUGUUUGCUAUGCAACACCAUGUUUAUUCAAUCAAAAGUACAUAAAGGAUAUUUUAAACCUGUUUUGUAUUUAAAUAUAUAAAGCAUUCUUUCACAAUAUCAAAUUUUGUCAAUAGUAUGUACUAUUGCAACUUAAGAAACUAGUCCAGAUCACUUCAUUAAUGGCCAUAGCAAGCAAGUCAACUGCUGCAGGGAUGCCUUUCCUAUUGUAACUGCUCAACAUUUUUUCACUGUACAUAUGGAAAGCCAUUACUAUAGCUAGGUGGAGAAGAGCAAGGUGACAAUUUUUUCAAGUGCUGUAAUGCUUUGUGUCUAUUUAAUAAAGAAGAAAAUUAUUGUGAUUAUCAUUUUUUGCUAUGCUGCUAUUUCUGAUGCGAUAUAAUUUUUGAUGAAUCUUUCAAACUGAAUGCUGUGUGUAGAUUACAGGUUAGUUAGGUGAAGAACCAUGUGGAAUUGCUGUUAACUGUAAGAUAUCUGGAAAAUAUUCAAGUGUUGUUUAUAAUAUAAGGUCUUUGUUAAUCA
RNA transcript from Macrobrachium nipponense, 2485 nucleotides. RefSeq lists it as uncharacterized. Lineage: Eukaryota; Metazoa; Arthropoda; Malacostraca; Decapoda; Palaemonidae. The record is from RefSeq and is a predicted model, not a curated record. The transcript is spliced from 3 exons.